Molecule: ribosomal RNA, 733 nt
Filed under: Bacillus sp. (in: firmicutes)
Lineage: Bacteria; Bacillati; Bacillota; Bacilli; Caryophanales; Bacillaceae
Description: bacterial SSU rRNA
Rfam family: Bacterial small subunit ribosomal RNA
Source: RNAcentral
GAGUGAUGAAGGUUUUCGGAUCGUAAAGCUCUGUUGUUAGGGAAGAACAAGUACCGUUCGAAUAGGGCGGUACCUUGACGGUACCUAACCAGAAAGCCACGGCUAACUACGUGCCAGCAGCCGCGGUAAUACGUAGGUGGCAAGCGUUGUCCGGAAUUAUUGGGCGUAAAGGGCUCGCAGGCGGUUUCUUAAGUCUGAUGUGAAAGCCCCCGGCUCAACCGGGGAGGGUCAUUGGAAACUGGGGAACUUGAGUGCAGAAGAGGAGAGUGGAAUUCCACGUGUAGCGGUGAAAUGCGUAGAGAUGUGGAGGAACACCAGUGGCGAAGGCGACUCUCUGGUCUGUAACUGACGCUGAGGAGCGAAAGCGUGGGGAGCGAACAGGAUUAGAUACCCUGGUAGUCCACGCCGUAAACGAUGAGUGCUAAGUGUUAGGGGGUUUCCGCCCCUUAGUGCUGCAGCUAACGCAUUAAGCACUCCGCCUGGGGAGUACGGUCGCAAGACUGAAACUCAAAGGAAUUGACGGGGGCCCGCACAAGCGGUGGAGCAUGUGGUUUAAUUCGAAGCAACGCGAAGAACCUUACCAGGUCUUGACAUCCUCUGACAAUCCUAGAGAUAGGACGUCCCCUUCGGGGGCAGAGUGACAGGUGGUGCAUGGUUGUCGUCAGCUCGUGUCGUGAGAUGUUGGGUUAAGUCCCGCAACGAGCGCAACCCUUGAUCUUAGUUGCCAGCAUUC